RNAcentral lists this ribosomal RNA (463 nucleotides) under uncultured bacterium. RNAcentral describes it as "SSU rRNA". It matches the Rfam family "Bacterial small subunit ribosomal RNA", at positions 26 to 521 of the family's 1533-position model. The record is from RNAcentral.
AGAAUCAACGCUGGCGGCGCGCUUAACACAUGCAAGUCGAGCGAGAAAGCGGAGCAAUCCGUGAGUAAAGCGGCGUACGGGUGAGUAACACGUGGAUGAUCUACCUUUUAGUGGGGGAUAACCCUGGGAAACCGGGGCUAAUAUCGCAUAAGCCUGAGAAGGGAAAGCAGCAAUGCGCUGAAAGAGGAGUCCGCGGCCGAUUAGCUAGUUGGUGAGGUAAUGGCUCACCAAGGCGAUGAUCGGUAGCCGGCCUGAGAGGGCACACGGCCACACUGGCACUGAAACACGGGCCAGACUCCUACGGGAGGCAGCAGUGGGGAAUCUUGCACAAUGGAGGCAACUCUGAUGCAGCGACGCCGCGUGAGCGAUGAAGCCCCUCGGGGUGUAAAGCUCUUUCGGCAGGGACGAUAAUGACGGUACCUGAAGAAGAAGCUGCGGCUAACUACGCGCCAGCAGCCGCGGU